UGCAAGUCGAACGAGUUCUGAUUAUUGAAAGGUGCUUGCAUCUUGAUUUAAUUUUGAACGAGUGGCGGACGGGUGAGUAACACGUGGGUAACCUGCCCUUAAGUGGGGGAUAACAUUUGGAAACAGAUGCUAAUACCGCAUAAAUCCAAGAACCGCAUGGUUCUUGGCUGAAAGAUGGCGUAAGCUAUCGCUUUUGGAUGGACCCGCGGCGUAUUAGCUAGUUGGUGAGGUAACGGCUCACCAAGGCAAUGAUACGUAGCCGAACUGAGAGGUUGAUCGGCCACAUUGGGACUGAGACACGGCCCAAACUCCUACGGGAGGCAGCAGUAGGGAAUCUUCCACAAUGGACGCAAGUCUGAUGGAGCAACGCCGCGUGAGUGAAGAAGGCUUUCGGGUCGUAAAACUCUGUUGUUGGAGAAGAAUGGUCGGCAGAGUAACUGUUGUCGGCGUGACGGUAUCCAACCAGAAAGCCACGGCUAACUACGUGCCAGCAGCCGCGGUAAUACGUAGGUGGCAAGCGUUAUCCGGAUUUAUUGGGCGUAAAGCGAGCGCAGGCGGUUUUUUAAGUCUGAUGUGAAAGCCCUCGGCUUAACCGAGGAAGUGCAUCGGAACUGGAAAACUUGAGUGCAGAAGAGGACAGUGGAACUCCAUGUGUAGCGGUGAAAUGCGUAGAUAUAUGGAAGAACACCAGUGGCGAAGGCGGCUGUCUGGUCUGUAACUGACGCUGAGGCUCGAAAGCAUGGGUAGCGAACAGGAUUAGAUACCCUGGUAGUCCAUGCCGUAAACGAUGAAUGCUAGGUGUUGGAGGGUUUCCGCCCUUCAGUGCCGCAGCUAACGCAUUAAGCAUUCCGCCUGGGGAGUACGACCGCAAGGUUGAAACUCAAAGGAAUUGACGGGGGCCCGCACAAGCGGUGGAGCAUGUGGUUUAAUUCGAAGCAACGCGAAGAACCUUACCAGGUCUUGACAUCUUUUGAUCACCUGAGAGAUCAGGUUUCCCCUUCGGGGGCAAAAUGACAGGUGGUGCAUGGUUGUCGUCAGCUCGUGUCGUGAGAUGUUGGGUUAAGUCCCGCAACGAGCGCAACCCUUAUGACUAGUUGCCAGCAUUUAGUUGGGCACUCUAGUAAGACUGCCGGUGACAAACCGGAGGAAGGUGGGGAUGACGUCAAAUCAUCAUGCCCCUUAUGACCUGGGCUACACACGUGCUACAAUGGAUGGUACAACGAGUUGCGAGACCGCGAGGUCAAGCUAAUCUCUUAAAGCCAUUCUCAGUUCGGACUGUAGGCUGCAACUCGCCUACACGAAGUCGGAAUCGCUAGUAAUCGCGGAUCAGCACGCCGCGGUGAAUACGUUCCCGGGCCUUGUACACACCGCCCGUCACACCAUGAGAGUUUGUAACACCCGAAGCCGGUGGCGUAACCCUUUUAGGGAGCGAGCCGUCU
This 1439-nucleotide ribosomal RNA is filed under the name Lacticaseibacillus rhamnosus. RNAcentral describes it as "bacterial SSU rRNA". It matches the Rfam family "Bacterial small subunit ribosomal RNA". Lineage: Bacteria; Bacillati; Bacillota; Bacilli; Lactobacillales; Lactobacillaceae. The record is from RNAcentral.